GGUUAAGCGACUAAGCGUACACGGUGGAUGCCCUGGCAGUCAGAGGCGAUGAAGGACGUGCUAAUCUGCGAAAAGCGUCGGUAAGGUGAUAUGAACCGUUACAGCCGGCGAUGUCCGAAUGGGGAAACCCAGUGCAAUUCGUUGCACUAUCGUUAACUGAAUACAUAGGUUAACGAGGCGAACCGGGGGAACUGAAACAUCUAAGUACCCCGAGGAAAAGAAAUCAACCGAGAUUCCCCCAGUAGCGGCGAGCGAACGGGGAGCAGCCCAGAGUCUGAAUCAGCUUGUGUGUUAGUGGAACGGUCUGGAAAGUCCGACGGUACAGGGUGAUAGUCCCGUACACCAAAAUGCACAGGCUGUGAACUCGAAGAGUAGGGCGGGACACGUGGUAUCCUGUCUGAAUAUGGGGGGA
RNAcentral lists this ribosomal RNA (412 nucleotides) under Klebsiella pneumoniae. Its description in RNAcentral is "partial 23S ribosomal RNA". It matches the Rfam family "Bacterial large subunit ribosomal RNA", at positions 1 to 452 of the family's 2925-position model. Lineage: Bacteria; Pseudomonadati; Pseudomonadota; Gammaproteobacteria; Enterobacterales; Enterobacteriaceae. The record is from RNAcentral. RNAcentral also lists the same sequence under 1 other name.